UACAGAGGGGGCUAGCGUUGUUCGGAAUUACUGGGCGUAAAGGGCGCGUAGGUGGCCUGUUAAGUCGAACGUGAAAUCCCCGGGCUCAACCCGGGAACUGCGUCCGAGACUGGCAGGCUCGAAUCCGGGAGAGGGAUGCGGAAUUCCAGGUGUAGCGGUGAAAUGCGUAGAUAUCUGGAGGAACACCGGUGGCGAAGGCGGCAUCCUGGACCGGCAUUGACGCUGAGGCGCGAAAGCCAGGGGAGCAAACAGG
This 253-nucleotide ribosomal RNA is filed under the name uncultured bacterium. RNAcentral's name for it is "partial 16S ribosomal RNA". It matches the Rfam family "Bacterial small subunit ribosomal RNA", at positions 524 to 776 of the family's 1533-position model. The record is from RNAcentral.